This 253-nucleotide ribosomal RNA is filed under the name uncultured bacterium. RNAcentral's name for it is "partial 16S ribosomal RNA". It matches the Rfam family "Bacterial small subunit ribosomal RNA", at positions 524 to 776 of the family's 1533-position model. The record is from RNAcentral.
UACGAAGGGUGCAAGCGUUACUCGGAAUUACUGGGCGGAAAGCGUGCGUAGGUGGUUUGUUAAGUCUGAUGUGAAAGCCCUGGGCUCAACCUGGGAAUUGCAUUGGAUACUGGCAGGCUAGAGUGCGGUAGAGGGUAGUGGAAUUCCCGGUGUAGCAGUGAAAUGCGUAGAGAUCGGGAGGGACACCAGUGGCGAAGGCGACUACCUGGACCAGCACUGACACUGAGGCACGAAAGCGUGGGGAGCAAACAGG